RNAcentral lists this transfer RNA (75 nucleotides) under Vibrio aquimaris. RNAcentral's name for it is "Vibrio sp. THAF100 tRNA-Asp". It matches the Rfam family "tRNA". Rfam says of the family: Transfer RNA (tRNA) molecules are approximately 80 nucleotides in length. The record is from RNAcentral. Lineage: Bacteria; Pseudomonadati; Pseudomonadota; Gammaproteobacteria; Vibrionales; Vibrionaceae.
GGAGCGGUAGUUCAGUUGGUUAGAUACCGGCCUGUCACGCCGGGGGCUCGGGUUCAAGUCCCGUCCGCUCCGCCA